AGUCGGCAGCGCUGAGUGAGUGGCAGAGGAGAAAGCCACAACUCACCCCUGAUUACAGGGUCUGAGACACCGAACUGGCAAAAGCAUGACGUUGAGACAUGAGAAAAGGUGCAACCUCUUAACAACAGAGACGGAACCAGCUAACGUGACAAGGAACGAUACUGGGGACGUCAGAGCCUGCGGCCUGGCCUGGGCGUUCUCUAGCCACAUGAGUGACUCAGGAGCGCCUCACCUGUGUCCUCAAGUGCUCACACACUCAGAGCUCGCUCUCCUGACACCUCUGGCCCAGAGGCUGAUGAUGAAACUAAGGCUCAGGCGGGGGUAGGAGCAAGUGACGUCCUUGAGACCUUGAAGCUGGUGACGUUGCUGGAACGGGACUCAGCUCCACACAGCGCCAGUCCCAGGAGCGGCCUUAUCCCCCCAGCCCUGUCGCAGGAUGUGGACAGGAAUCUGGAGUCCCCACCCUUGUCCACGCUGGCCCAGGGCCAGGCCCACUGACCUGCCCCGGCAGCACCGGCCACCUGGGAGAAGGGGUUGGCAAAAGCGUCCAGCGAGGACUGACCACGUGCCCAGCAAGGUGCUAAGCGAUAGACCUUCCUUGUCCCCUUUAAUCAUGACAACAGCUUCACUCCCACCUCCCAGGGGCGCAGACUGAGGCCGAGGAGCUGAGACUCGUGUCCAGGACCACACAGAAAGAGAAAACUUUCAUGUGCGGGCAGAGAAUUGACAGUCCUGGGUGCACAGAAAGGAGGUGACUCUCACUGAAUACUGCAGGGCUCCAGCCGCCUCCUGUCUUCUUGGGUUCCAGAACAGAAGAGAACAGGCCAUGUGUGUUUGCUGAGUAAAGAGUCUGAUUGGUUUGGAUGGGUCAGGUUUAGAGGUGGCACCUAGAAUACGAGAUGAUCUUUGACCAACUGUAUGCAGCAGCCAUGUUCUCCACCAUCAGCAGUGGCAAUUUUAAUAUGUAAUCGCAAAUUCUUUUAUUUCUUCUCCCACAGAGAGGUGAAGUCUGUGCCCCUCCCCCUUGAAUGUAUGAGGGCUGUGAUCGCUUUGACCAAUAGUAUAUGGUGGAAGCCAUAUCACUUCCAGGGCUGGGGCCUGAAAGCGGCCAUGUGCGAA
Non-coding RNA from Microcebus murinus (gray mouse lemur), 1119 nucleotides. Lineage: Eukaryota; Metazoa; Chordata; Mammalia; Primates; Cheirogaleidae. The record is from RefSeq and is a predicted model, not a curated record.